AGAUCAUCACUGGGUAUAAAGCGUGCGCAGGCGGUUUUGUAAGACAGAGGUGAAAUCCCCGGGCUCAACCUGGGAACUGCCUUUGUGACUGCAAGGCUGGAGUGCGGCAGAGGGGGAUGGAAUUCCGUGUGUAGCAGUGAAAUGCGUAGAUAUGCGGAGGAACACCGAUGGCGAAGGCAAUCCUCUGGGCCUGCACUGACGCUCAUGCACGAAAGCGUGGGGAGCAAACA
This 230-nucleotide ribosomal RNA is filed under the name uncultured Alicycliphilus sp. Its description in RNAcentral is "partial 16S ribosomal RNA". It matches the Rfam family "Bacterial small subunit ribosomal RNA", at positions 550 to 774 of the family's 1533-position model. The record is from RNAcentral. Lineage: Bacteria; Pseudomonadati; Pseudomonadota; Betaproteobacteria; Burkholderiales; Comamonadaceae.